RNAcentral lists this ribosomal RNA (415 nucleotides) under Eikenella corrodens. RNAcentral's name for it is "bacterial SSU rRNA". It matches the Rfam family "Bacterial small subunit ribosomal RNA", at positions 41 to 451 of the family's 1533-position model. The record is from RNAcentral. Lineage: Bacteria; Pseudomonadati; Pseudomonadota; Betaproteobacteria; Neisseriales; Neisseriaceae.
GGCAUGCUUUACACAUGCAAGUCGAACGGCAGCGGGGUAGUGCUUGCACUACUGUCCGGCGAGUGGCGAACGGGUGAGUAAUAUAUCGGAACGUACCGAGUAAUGGGGGAUAACCAAUCGAAAGAUUGGCUAAUACCGCAUACGUCCUACGGGAGAAAGCGGGGGAUCGCAAGACCUCGCGUUAUUCGAGCGGCCGAUAACUGAUUAGCUAGUUGGUGGGGUAAAGGCCUACCAAGGCGACGAUCAGUAGCGGGUCUGAGAGGACGAUCCGCCACACUGGGACUGAGACACGGCCCAGACUCCUACGGGAGGCAGCAGUGGGGAAUUUUGGACAAUGGGGGCAACCCUGAUCCAGCCAUGCCGCGUGUAUGAAGAAGGCCUUCGGGUUGUAAAGUACUUUUGUUAGGGAAGAAAA